RNAcentral lists this small RNA (29 nucleotides) under Bombyx mori (domestic silkworm). Its description in RNAcentral is "piRNA piR-bmo-2224700". The record is from RNAcentral. Lineage: Eukaryota; Metazoa; Arthropoda; Insecta; Lepidoptera; Bombycidae.
UGACUGUUUUGCUUCAGCACAUAUUUUAC